This is a non-coding RNA of Nicotiana tabacum (common tobacco), 951 nucleotides long. Lineage: Eukaryota; Viridiplantae; Streptophyta; Magnoliopsida; Solanales; Solanaceae. The record is from RefSeq and is a predicted model, not a curated record.
AUUAAACCCUAGAGCUAAGACUAGGGAUCAGCCGCAAAAAGAGAACCCCCCAGCGUAUCUCCUUCAUCUUCUUCAUGAAGAUUGAACCUACACCCUAGCUGAAUCUCUUCAGCCGUGAACACUACUAAGACCUCCCAAAGGCGAUCUUGCAAGAUAAGUGAGAAAAGAAGUUGAAGAAAAUCUAAGAACUUUAGGUCUUCUUUCUCCCCUUCUGGAAUUCCAAGACAAAUUACGCAAACAGAAAAGAUUUUAAUUCUUGUUCUAGUUUUCUUCCUCAAAAUACAAGAAGUAGUAAAAAGAUUAUUCCCAUUUUGCUUCAGUUUUCUUAUUCGGAUCCAAAAGAAAAACCAUCAGAAUAUGUUGGUUCCUUACUGCCUUUGAUUUCGAAAAAAGAAGCUAAGAAUCAUUCAAAUAGAGUUGAGUUGAAAUAUUUUGGGUCUGUUCGGGUUUUCUAAUUUGAGCUCAGAUUUGUUCGCGACUCCAUCGAGGUGCGUCCAAGGUUUCUGAUCAUAAACAUUAUAUUCAAAGAGCUUUCACUCCUGAGGCGGAAAUAUGUAUAGACCCGCUGCAGACGGAAGGGAGAGAGACUUGGUGCGCUUAUCACGCCUCAACCAUGGCAAUGUGCUCUUUAAAGGGAUUGUCCACCUUCUUUUUGAAUUGGCAAUCAUCCCAAUGAAUUUUUAAACAUUAUCUUCACUCUUCACCGCUCAAGAAAAAAAUAAUGAAUUCAGCGAAGGUUACAAAAUACUAUGCCAAAUUACAACAGAGAGACGAAAUGUGAGCUAAAGGAAAAAAAGAAAAAGAUAUCAUUUUGCUUUUGGAACAUUAUAUAUUUUCGUUCUUCUGCUUCCAUUUCUUGCCAAAGGAAAAUUGAGGAUGAAAAGAGUGCAAAUAGUCUGAUCAGAUUCAGAGUUCAAUUCCUUUGUCAAUAAGAAAUUCUUUUUUAAUGAU